UAGGGAAUCUUCGGCGAUGGACGAAAGUCUGACCGAGCAACGCCGCGUGAGUGAAGAAGGUUUUCGGAUCGUAAAACUCUGUUGGUAGAGAAGAACGUUGGUGAGAGUGGAAAGCUCAUCAAGUGACGGUAACUACCCAGAAAGGGACGGCUAACUACGUGCCAG
RNAcentral lists this ribosomal RNA (165 nucleotides) under uncultured bacterium. RNAcentral describes it as "partial 16S rRNA". It matches the Rfam family "Bacterial small subunit ribosomal RNA", at positions 355 to 511 of the family's 1533-position model. The record is from RNAcentral.